CCUACGGGGGGCUGCAGUGGGGAAUCUUGCGCAAUGGGGGAAACCCUGACGCAGCGACGCCGCGUGGGCGAUGAAGGCCUUCGGGUCGUAAAGCCCUGUCGAGCGGGACGCGGUACCGCUAGAGGAAGCCCCGGCUAACUCCGUGCCAGCAGCCGCGGUAAUACGGAGGGGGCUAGCGUUAUUCGGAAUUAUUGGGCGUAAAGGGCGUGUAGGCGGCUUCGUGUGUCCCAUGUGAAAGCCCUCGGCUCAACCGGGGAACUGCAUGGGAAACUGCGGAGCUUGAGUCCGGGAGAGGAGAGCGGAAUUCCCAGUGUAGCGGUGAAAUGCGUAGAUAUUGGGAGGAACACCGGUGGCGAAGGCGGCUCUCUGGACCGGACUGACGCUGAGACGCGAAAGCCAGGGGAGCAAACGGGAUUAGAUACCCUUGUAGUC
This 432-nucleotide ribosomal RNA is filed under the name uncultured bacterium. RNAcentral describes it as "partial 16S ribosomal RNA". It matches the Rfam family "Bacterial small subunit ribosomal RNA", at positions 338 to 795 of the family's 1533-position model. The record is from RNAcentral.